AGUCACUGACAUUAGAUACCCGUGUAGUCCAGGGUGUAAACGCUGCAGACUUGGUGUUGGAAGCCCUUUGGGGGCAUUCAGUGCCGGAGAGAAGUUGUUAAGUCUGCUACUUGGGGAGUACGUCCGCAAGGAUGAAACUUAAAGGAAUUGGCGGGGGAGCACCGCAACGGGAGGAGCGUGCGGUUUAAUUGGAUUCAACACCGUAAAGCUCACCAGGGAAGACUGUUACAUGAAGGCCGAGAUGAAGACUCUGCUAGAUUUUCAG
Molecule: ribosomal RNA, 265 nt
Filed under: uncultured archaeon
Lineage: Archaea
Description: partial 16S ribosomal RNA
Rfam family: Archaeal small subunit ribosomal RNA
Source: RNAcentral